This 462-nucleotide ribosomal RNA is filed under the name uncultured bacterium. RNAcentral's name for it is "bacterial SSU rRNA". It matches the Rfam family "Bacterial small subunit ribosomal RNA", at positions 28 to 438 of the family's 1533-position model. The record is from RNAcentral.
GAUAAACGCUGGCGGCGCACAUAAGACAUGCAAGUCGAACGGAAGUCGUUGUAAUGAUGUUGACAUGAACAGAGAACUUGUUCAAAGGGAGUGAAGAUUGACUUACAACAAUGGCUUUAGUGGCGGACUGGUGAGUAACACGUAAGCAACCUGCCUAUCAGAGGGGAACAACAGUUAGAAAUGACUGCUAAUACCGCAUAUGCCUUAGCAACACAUGUUGCAAAAGGGAAAGGAGCAAUCCGCUGAUAGAUGGGCUUGCGUCUGAUUAGAUAGUUGGUGGGUAACGGCCUACAAGUCGACGAUCAGUAGCCGGACUGAGAGGUUGAACGGCCACAUUGGGACUGAGAUACGGCCCAGACUCCUACGGGAGGCAGCAGUCGGGAAUAUUGCGCAAUGGAGGAAACUCUGACGCAGUGACGCCGCGUGCAGGAAGAAGGUUUUCGGAGUUGUAAACUUUUGUCG